AACCACGUGGCCUAAUGGACAAGGUUCUGACUUCGGACAAGGUUCUGACUUCGGAUCAGAAGAUUGAGGGUUAAAGUCCCUUCGUGGUUG
Molecule: transfer RNA, 90 nt
Filed under: Xiphophorus maculatus (southern platyfish)
Lineage: Eukaryota; Metazoa; Chordata; Actinopteri; Cyprinodontiformes; Poeciliidae
Rfam family: tRNA
About the family: Transfer RNA (tRNA) molecules are approximately 80 nucleotides in length. Their secondary structure includes four short double-helical elements and three loops (D, anti-codon, and T loops). Further hydrogen bonds mediate the characteristic L-shaped molecular structure. tRNAs have two regions of fundamental functional importance: the anti-codon, which is responsible for specific mRNA codon recognition, and the 3' end, to which the tRNAs corresponding amino acid is attached (by aminoacyl-tRNA synthetases). tRNAs cope with the degeneracy of the genetic code in two manners: having more than one tRNA (with a specific anti-codon) for a particular amino acid; and 'wobble' base-pairing, i.e. permitting non-standard base-pairing at the 3rd anti-codon position.
Source: Rfam by way of RNAcentral